Molecule: long non-coding RNA, 1813 nt
Filed under: Macaca fascicularis (crab-eating macaque)
Lineage: Eukaryota; Metazoa; Chordata; Mammalia; Primates; Cercopithecidae
Description: lncRNA (ENSMFAG00000063146.1)
Source: RNAcentral
GGGUCACUUAUUUGGCAUGUGGCCUUGAGCAAGUUACAUAACCUUUCUGCGUGGCAGCUUCUCAUGUGAACAAUAGACAUGACAAUUGUCUCAGAGUUGUUGCAAGGAUUCGGUGACAAAAUGCAUUGUAAAGCAUUUAGAAUAGUGCCUGGCACAUUGUUCAUGCUGCGUAUUAUCUAUUGUUAUCUAUUGUUAUUCCCGGCGACCAACUCAGUUUCUGGCCAUAGUGGGGCUCAAGAAAUACCAGAAUAAAUAAAAGAACAAAAGGGCAACUGUGACACCACGGGAGCACAUGCUCAGCUCUUCCUGAAGAGGACUGUACUGCAGGGAGCUCGCAGACCUUUGGGAUCACAGGGUCACACUCCCAGUCAGUGACCAAGCAUGGUGGGGUCCUAGAGCCAAGUGGUUUCUUCCCGCUGCUGGGUCCUCCAACAGAUGAUCUUGGUACUGGGGUUUCACGUUAGCCCGGCUCUGACUUCUCAGAGCAGCACUGUGGCCUGAGACUCUUGCUAUCCAUCCUCUUUCCUUCCCUCCAUUCUUAAACAGCUAUCAAACACCUCUCGAGGUUGAGGGUUCUCCCUACCUACUCCUGUUCCCUCCCACUUAUUCUUCACGGGUCUUUGCCCCCUAAAUCUCCUGCCUUUCUAAUUGUGUCAUGGCCUCUUCUUCUGGGCAGGCCAAGCUGACCUAUUAGUAAGGCUCCGAGAGAACAUGCUAGUGCCCACCAGGACCCAAAUAUUUUCAGUUUCUUGCUUGGACACAUGUGGUGCUGCCAGAGGAGAAUCUGAACAGAGAGACACAGGAAUAGCUUAGGAAGAAGGGACAUGCCAUGGAAGCCCCACUUCAGUGACAGCGUUUGGCCCAAACUGUGCCAGGACUUUAUUGAGUACCCACCAGGCCACGUUUGCUUACACGGAAAUCCUUGCCCUCCUCCUCGUAGGCCCCGGGAAGGCUGCCUGAGACCCCACUGAGAGAGGCCUCAGUGGAAAACCCUCAGCUGGGGCAUUUCCCCCCAUGCCUCACAGCUGACCUGGCCGCUUCAAGACCCUUUCCCUAGUUUUGUGUUCUCCAUGACCCAAGGCCAUGACUGACUUUGGUUGUGACUGAACAGAGCCCUGGGAAAUUCUGCCUUUGGGAUUUUUCCUUGGCCAGGAGCCAGAGAGAGGUCCAAUUUGUCUUCUGCUAACAAAAAUAUAUUCUAUUUCCUUUCAGUCCUGUGUUUAAUUCAAAAGAGGAACUAGAAUUGCUGGAUAAACACAUGCUAUUUUUAUUCCCACCUCCCACGUGCACACCCUCCUCCUUUUCCUAAUGUAGCCUUCAAAUCCCAGACUUGCACAUCUGCCCAGAUGUUGCAAUGGAAGAAAUGGAUGUGCUUUCCCUCAGUCAGAUGAACUUUUGCUUCUGUAGCCCACUCCUCCUUCCUUCAGCCUUCCUGCCUCCCUGCCCAGGAUGAGGAACGUGUGAAAAAAGAUGCUUUGAUUUCUGUCCAAAGAAACCAAGGACAGUUUGGAGACAACACAUGGAAGCCUCAAGCAUGGCUUUGCUUUUGCCAUGAACAUAACUAUCCCUGGAUUCCAGGGCAGCCCCUUGCCCUUUAGAAUUGCCUACUGUCUCAGUAGCCCACCAUCUCAGUAGCCCAUCCUCCUUGUUUCAUGGACCCAGAUGGCUUGUAAAUGACUCAUACAUAGCAGAUACAGGAAAUAGUUUUGAGAUGUUGAAUGGAGCGUGCAUCAUGCUGGUAAGUAAACAUACAAACAUGGAAAGUCAGUAAAAUGGUUGACAUUCAAGGCAGACCAAACAAAAAAAAAAAAAA